GCAAACUUGGUCAUUUAGAGGAAGUAAAAGUCGUAACAAGGUCUCCGUUGGUGAACCAGCGGAGGGAUCAUUACCGAGUUUUCAACUCCCAAACCCCAAUGUGAACAUACCUAUUCUGUUGCUUCGGCGGGGUCGCCCCGGGCGCGCGGCCGCAAGGCCAGCCCCGGACCCAACGUGCACCCGCCGGAGGAUACCAAACUCUUCUGUUUCUCACAGCGGUUACAUUCUGAGUGGCUCCAUCGCGAGCAAAACAAAAAAUGAAUCAAAACUUUCAACAACGGAUCUCUUGGUUCUGGCAUCGAUGAAGAACGCAGC
Molecule: unclassified non-coding RNA, 315 nt
Filed under: uncultured fungus
Lineage: Eukaryota; Fungi
Description: partial contains small subunit ribosomal RNA, internal transcribed spacer 1, and 5.8S ribosomal RNA
Rfam family: Eukaryotic small subunit ribosomal RNA (bases 1-73)
Source: RNAcentral